This 371-nucleotide ribosomal RNA is filed under the name uncultured bacterium. Its description in RNAcentral is "bacterial SSU rRNA". It matches the Rfam family "Bacterial small subunit ribosomal RNA", at positions 917 to 1289 of the family's 1533-position model. The record is from RNAcentral.
GGGCCCGCACAAGCGGUGGAGCAUGUGGUUUAAUUCGAUGAUACGCGAGGAACCUUACCAGGGCUUAAAUGCAGAAUGACAGAUUGGGAAACCAGUCCUUCUUCGGACAUUUUUGCAAGGUGCUGCAUGGUUGUCGUCAGCUCGUGCCGUGAGGUGUCAGGUUAAGUCCUAUAACGAGCGCAACCCCCUAUCAUUAGUUGCCAGCGGGUAAUGCCGGGAACUCUAAUGAGACUGCCAGCGCAAGCUGCGAGGAAGGUGGGAUGACGUCAAAUCAUCACGGCCCUUACGUCCUGGGCUACACACGUGCUACAAUGGUUGGGACAAUGGGCAGCCACUACGCGAGUAGGAGCUAAUCCUCAAACCCCAAUCUC